RNAcentral lists this long non-coding RNA (983 nucleotides) under Olea europaea subsp. europaea. The record is from RNAcentral. Lineage: Eukaryota; Viridiplantae; Streptophyta; Magnoliopsida; Lamiales; Oleaceae.
CAACAACCUUUUCAUUUUGUUUGUUUUUCUCAACAUAACAAUCUUUAAUGAAAUGUCCAGUUUUACCGCACCCAUAACAUUUCCUACCUUUAGGUUUACCUUUUGGCCUAGAUAGACUCCUAUUUUUCUUUUUACCACCAGAUGCAUAUCCUCUUUGGUUAUCACGAGUCCUAGACUGAGACCUACCUCUCAUCAUAUGGACCUCACCACUUUUUCUCUCGACUCUCUCGGCUCGCAUUUCCAUAUCUUUACUUCUUAACGAGUCUAUGACAAUUUCAGGUGUUAAAGUAUCUCUCCCGUACUUAAUAGCAUUUUUAACAUCUCUAUAAGUGUCAGGAAUAGCAUUCAACAAAAUGAUAGCCUUAUAUUCUUCAGAUACUUUUUCACCACAGUUAGUGAUGUCUUGCACAAGUUUAUUGAAAACAUCCAAAUUGUCAUCAAGGUCUUUUGAAGAAUCAAUUUUGAAACUAAAAAAGCUUUCGAGUAGAAAAAGUUUGUUUGGAGUGGACCUUGACACAUAAAGUUCCUCCAAUUUUUCCCAAAGUUCUUUGGUAGUUUUUAACUUACCAACUUUUCUUAAAACUGCAUCAGACAAGUGUAAAAUAAUAGAAGUGUAUGCCAAUUCAUCCAAGUUUUCUUUUUCUUCAGCAGUCAAGGUUUUAGAAAAAGAAUUAUCAAUAGCUUUUGAAACUUUUUUUUGAACAAGAAUACCUUUCAUUUUUUGUUGCCAAAUAGAAAAAUCUCCUUUACCAUUAAAGAUACCCAAUUCAAAGUGAUGUGUCGACAUCUUACCAAAAAAUGCACAGAACACAAAUUCAAACUUGUAAAAGUCACAGGUCACACAGAUUACACAGUAGCAAGAUUCCUAUGGUUUCACAGUAAUACUCUAUUCUAGAACCCCAGGAUUCCGUGAGAAUCAAGUUCUCAGGUCAAGGAAAGAAACUAGAAUAGGCGGCUCGGGUACAAUUCUAAAAUGAUAUAAG